GUCUAUGGCGGGCCGGGCGGGGCCAGCUUUGGCUGGGCCGGUUCCUGUAUCCCGGUUUCCACCCUCGUUCGGUCUGCCACCCUU
Molecule: non-coding RNA, 84 nt
Filed under: Mycetohabitans endofungorum
Lineage: Bacteria; Pseudomonadati; Pseudomonadota; Betaproteobacteria; Burkholderiales; Burkholderiaceae
Source: RNAcentral